CUGUGAUGCCCUUAGAUGUUC
This 21-nucleotide non-coding RNA is filed under the name Arabidopsis thaliana (thale cress). Lineage: Eukaryota; Viridiplantae; Streptophyta; Magnoliopsida; Brassicales; Brassicaceae. The record is from RNAcentral.